This 434-nucleotide ribosomal RNA is filed under the name uncultured bacterium. RNAcentral's name for it is "partial 16S ribosomal RNA". It matches the Rfam family "Bacterial small subunit ribosomal RNA", at positions 29 to 507 of the family's 1533-position model. The record is from RNAcentral.
AGCGAACGCUGGCGGCAGGCCUAACACAUGCAAGUCGAACGAACCUUUCGGGGUUAGUGGCGGACGGGUGAGUAACACGUGGGAACGUGCCUUUAGGUUCGGAAUAACUCAGGGAAACUUGUGCUAAUACCGAAUGUGCCCUUCGGGGGAAAGAUUUUUCGCCUUUAGAGCGGCCCGCGUCUGAUUAGCUAGUUGGUUGAGGUAAUGGCUCACCAAGGCGACGAUCAGUAGCUGGUCUGAGAGGAUGAUCAGCCACAUUGGGACUGAGACACGGCCCAAACUCCUACGGGAGGCAGCAGUGGGGAAUCUUGCGCAAUGGGCGAAAGCCUGACGCAGCCAUGCCGCGUGAAUGAUGAAGGUCUUAGGAUUGUAAAAUUCUUUCACCGGGGGCGAUAAUGACGGUACCCGGAGAAGAAGCCCCGGCUAACUUCGUG